This is a long non-coding RNA of Gossypium arboreum, 440 nucleotides long. RefSeq lists it as uncharacterized. The record is from RefSeq and is a predicted model, not a curated record. Lineage: Eukaryota; Viridiplantae; Streptophyta; Magnoliopsida; Malvales; Malvaceae. The transcript is spliced from 2 exons.
ACGCUAGCUUUGGGUGUAAUAUACGUGACUGGCAGUCUAUCUGCAUAUUAUUAGUCCCAAUGCCUAGAGGGUCGUGGACAAUCCUGAUAGCCAUCGUUCCUGGGCAACCCGGGAUGACAUCAGUUGGAGUGAAGGGUUGGAUGGGCCUUACGAGGUCCUGAGUGGAGUGAUUGGUGGGACGAGCUUAAAGCUCUUAUGAGGAGCUAUGGGGAUCGAAGAGGUGUGUUGGCUAGAUAGGUACAGUUUUGGAUUCUAUUGAUGGGUUCAGUGCGCGGAGGUCUCGGACAGUUUUGGAGGAGAUGAACUAUAAGUUUUAUUUCAGUUUCUAAUUGCUAUUUGGUUUAAGCUGAAUUGUAAAAGAUUUAUAAGACGGUGGUACAAUUUUUCAUUAUAUGUUUUAUUUCUGAUAUCUUUACAGAAGGGAUUUUAAACGUUUUUGA